UCUUUAAGAACCAUUAUAUAAAGUAAAACCUGCUCAAUGUUCUAUUACAAUCAAUAGCCGCAGUAAACCUGUGCUAAGGUAGCAUAAUCAUUUGCUCCUUAAUUAGGAGAUAGAAUGAAUGGUUCAACACUUAAAACAAGUAUCUUUAAAACAAAUAAACCUAAGAAAAAAGUAAAAACUCUUUUAAUAAAAAGUGGGACGACAAGACCCUGACAAACUAACACUUUUAGUUGGGGAAACACAAUAAUAACUCUUUAUUAAUUAAAACACACACCUUUAGAACAAAUCAAAGAAAAGUUACUGCAGGGAUAACAGCGCAAUUCUUUCCUAGAGACCUUAUCCAAGAAAGAGAUUACGACCUCGAUGUUGAAUUAAGCCCUCCUUAAAAGCGCAACAACCUUUAUGGAUAGUCUGUUCGACUAUUAAAACC
RNAcentral lists this ribosomal RNA (430 nucleotides) under Pholcus halabala. Its description in RNAcentral is "partial 16S ribosomal RNA". It matches the Rfam family "Bacterial large subunit ribosomal RNA", at positions 1831 to 2595 of the family's 2925-position model. Lineage: Eukaryota; Metazoa; Arthropoda; Arachnida; Araneae; Pholcidae. The record is from RNAcentral.